RNAcentral lists this ribosomal RNA (814 nucleotides) under Brevibacterium aureum. RNAcentral describes it as "bacterial SSU rRNA". It matches the Rfam family "Bacterial small subunit ribosomal RNA", at positions 37 to 859 of the family's 1533-position model. The record is from RNAcentral. Lineage: Bacteria; Bacillati; Actinomycetota; Actinomycetes; Micrococcales; Brevibacteriaceae.
UGGCUGCGUGCUUAACACAUGCAAGUCGAACGCUGAAGCCUGGUGCUUGCACCGGGUGGAUGAGUGGCGAACGGGUGAGUAACACGUGAGUAACCUGCCCCCGAUUUCGGGAUAAGCCCGGGAAACUGGGUCUAAUACCGGAUAUGACCAGAGGACGCAUGUUCUGUGGUGGAAAGUUUUUCGAUCGGGGAUGGGCUCGCGGCCUAUCAGCUUGUUGGUGGGGUAAUGGCCUACCAAGGCGACGACGGGUAGCCGGCCUGAGAGGGCGACCGGCCACACUGGGACUGAGACACGGCCCAGACUCCUACGGGAGGCAGCAGUGGGGAAUAUUGCACAAUGGGGGAAACCCUGAUGCAGCGACGCAGCGUGCGGGAUGACGGCCUUCGGGUUGUAAACCGCUUUCAGCAGGGAAGAAGCGAAAGUGACGGUACCUGCAGAAGAAGUACCGGCUAACUACGUGCCAGCAGCCGCGGUAAUACGUAGGGUACGAGCGUUGUCCGGAAUUAUUGGGCGUAAAGAGCUCGUAGGUGGUUGGUCACGUCUGCUGUGGAAACGCAACGCUUAACGUUGCGCGGGCAGUGGGUACGGGCUGACUAGAGUGCAGUAGGGGAGUCUGGAAUUCCUGGUGUAGCGGUGAAAUGCGCAGAUAUCAGGAGGAACACCGGUGGCGAAGGCGGGACUCUGGGCUGUAACUGACACUGAGGAGCGAAAGCAUGGGGAGCGAACAGGAUUAGAUACCCUGGUAGUCCAUGCCGUAAACGUUGGGCACUAGGUGUGGGGGACAUUCCACGUUCUCCGCGCCGUAGCUAACGCA